CGACGGAUCAAGCGAUUCGGCCGAUGAGGGAUCGAAUCAGCCGGGUUCAAAAACCUCCAUAGUAAAUUCGCUUCGACGGGAUAAGCCGAAUGGAGAGAGGAAGCCCAGAAUUCGACUAAGAAAUGAGCCGAAUGGCUAAACAACUUGUGAUCUGAUCGACAGUAAGAGCCGAAGAUGGCUUUCUAUUGAAUAGCAAAUGGGAAAAAGUACACGAGCAGGAGAGUGAUACCCGUAGAGCAGACAUACUCCAAGUAUGGGGACAAGGGAGUGAUGCCCGUAGGGCAGACAGACUCUGAGUAUGCUAAAUUACAGGAACUACUCCUAGGGAAAGCGGUAAAUGCGAGAAUAGAAAGAUGCAGGAAAAUAAAGGUGAUCUUUUGUGCGCAGGGGCGAAGACCCUUUUUCAGGGUAUCGUAUGUCUAUUUAUAGAACCGCCUUUGCGUCAGUUAUUGCUCUUGCACGAUCAGCCACUAUCUCCUGAUUCGCAGGACCACCUUCGGCCGAUCGGAACCGCUCGUAACUGCUUGCGGUUGUUAUAACUCCUCGGUCCAGUGCGGCUCGUAUGCGUCCGGUGUACUCUAGGUCUACCAUUUUAGCCGUCUUACAGAUAUGGACCCGGCGAACCAGCUGUUCGCGCCUAACUGGCUCAACAAUCA
This 656-nucleotide long non-coding RNA is filed under the name Ananas comosus (pineapple). RNAcentral describes it as "long non-coding RNA (ACOM_LNC012191)". The record is from RNAcentral. Lineage: Eukaryota; Viridiplantae; Streptophyta; Magnoliopsida; Poales; Bromeliaceae.